RNAcentral lists this long non-coding RNA (567 nucleotides) under Medicago truncatula (barrel medic). RNAcentral's name for it is "long non-coding RNA (MTRU_LNC004789)". The record is from RNAcentral. Lineage: Eukaryota; Viridiplantae; Streptophyta; Magnoliopsida; Fabales; Fabaceae.
UUCGUAGUUAAAUGGGUAAUUAGAAUAAUUUUGGUUGUUGAAAUGGUUAUUAUUGGGAUCCAUUUCACUAAAAAUAAGAUUAAAACUUCAAUUAGUUUGCUAAUAGAAAGAUAAUAAUAAGAAGAAGAUAGUGAAAAACUUGGUUUUUUUUUCUGUGUCCAAAUCAAAUGAACCAAGUCUCUAUUUAUAGAGAAAAAAAAAUCAUGAAUUUUGGUAUAAUUUUUUUUUUUUUUAAAUUAAUUUACAACGAAAUAAUUGAGGUUAAAUUAUGAAAAUGAUAAGAAUCCGGACAGCCAAUUAAAACGUGCCACGUGUCAUUAUCUAUCCAAAAAAUCUUUCUCUCUCCGCACGUCUGACGCGUCACGCGCCUUGUCUGCGCGUGUAACGCACGCGCCAGUUUUCAACAAAUCUCGCGUCGCCACGUGUCCGGCCGGGCAGAGUUAAAUUGUGUUUAAUGGAUUCACCUUCUCUCUUCUCUUCCCUCAUUCAACACACUUUAAACACACCAUUGCAAAGGAAAUUGGUGUUGAAUGCUUCAUUAAACACACCAUUGCAUAUGGUCUUAGU